AGAGUUUGAUCCUGGCUCAGGAUGAACGCUGGCGGCGUGCCUAAUACAUGCAAGUCGAACGGGGAGUACAUACUUCGGUUUAUACUCCUAGUGGCGAACGGGUGAGUAACGCGUUGGUGACCUGCCCCGAAGAGGGGGACAACAGCUCGAAAGGGCUGCUAAUACCCCAUGUGGUCGUACAGGUUAGAGGCUGAACGACUAAAGGAGUAAUCCACUUCGGGAGGGGCCUGCGUCCCAUCAGCUAGUUGGUAAGGUAACGGCCUACCAAGGCGAAGACGGGUAGGGGACCUGAGAGGGUGGCCCCCCACACUGGCACUGAAACACGGGCCAGACACCUACGGGUGGCAGCAGUAGGGAAUAUUGCACAAUGGGCGAAAGCCUGAUGCAGCAACGCCGCGUGCGCGAAGAAGGCCUUCGGGUUGUAAAGCGCUUUUCUGGAGGAAGAGAAAGGACGGUACUCCAGGAAUAAGGAUCGGCUAACUACGUGCCAGCAGCCGCGGUAACACGUAGGAUCCGAGCGUUAUCCGAAUUUACUGGGCGUAAAGCGCGUGUAGGCGGCCGGGUAAGUUGGACGUGAAAACUCCUGGCUCAACUAGGAGAGGUCGUUCAAAACUGCCUGGCUAGAGGGCGACAGAGGGAGGUGGAAUUCCCGGUGUAGUGGUGAAAUGCGUAGAUAUCGGGAGGAACACCAGUGGCGAAGGCGGCCUCCUGGGUCGCCCCUGACGCUCAGACGCGAAAGCUAGGGGAGCAAACGGGAUUAGAUACCCCGGUAGUCCUAGCUGUAAACGAUGUGGACUUGGCGUUGGUGGGG
RNAcentral lists this ribosomal RNA (811 nucleotides) under uncultured Chloroflexota bacterium. RNAcentral describes it as "bacterial SSU rRNA". It matches the Rfam family "Bacterial small subunit ribosomal RNA", at positions 8 to 831 of the family's 1533-position model. The record is from RNAcentral. Lineage: Bacteria; Bacillati; Chloroflexota.